This 558-nucleotide long non-coding RNA is filed under the name Rattus norvegicus (Norway rat). Its description in RNAcentral is "long non-coding RNA NONRATT013639". The record is from RNAcentral. Lineage: Eukaryota; Metazoa; Chordata; Mammalia; Rodentia; Muridae.
AAAGAGGAGGGAUCCUCCCAAAGUCAUACUGAAGGAUAGGAGUAGGAAAUGCUGUAUCAGCCAAGUUGUAGCUGAAAAUGAAGUUGUAUCCUUCCUCUUUGAACUCCAUAGACACAGGUCCAAUAAAUUAGAUACGAUAUUAGAAAUAUUAAAGUAAAUUAGAAUUGAGAAGCUAGAGGCCUAGAAAAGCUUGAGCAACUUUCCGUAUCUAAAUUUAGUCAGUUAUCAAAUUACGGAACGAAAAUUCAAGUCACAUACAAUUUGACCCUUCACACUUGCUCUUAAUUGAUAGAUAAGAGUUCAUUAAUACCUUCACAAGGUAAAGAAUGUUGUUGAUUCACUUUCUACCUUGCUGGCUAAUGCCAUAGCUUGUUUUUCUUGAACUAAAGUGUCUGAAUCUUCUUGUUUCCUGACAUUCGCAGAGGAAUUCAGUUCUACAGUCAGAGUUCUACUAGGAAGUCCUUAUGUGGUCUCUAGAUACUAUGUUUGUGAUGGUCAAAUUUGAACUCCAUGUCGCAAACAAACACUACAUACUGAAAACAAAACAAAAAAAAAAAA